Molecule: long non-coding RNA, 227 nt
Filed under: Lathyrus oleraceus (garden pea)
Lineage: Eukaryota; Viridiplantae; Streptophyta; Magnoliopsida; Fabales; Fabaceae
Description: Pisum sativum (pea) long non-coding RNA (PSAT_LNC005453)
Source: RNAcentral
AAGUCUUCCGCUUCAACUCUGGACCAGUUGCCAUCUCGAUCAAUGAAUAGACUCCUGAAUGAACCUGAGAAAUGAUAUGGAUGCAGAGAUUAGCUUUUUCUUUUCUUUUCUUUUCUUUCAAUUUUUUCCUUGAUUGCAUAUUUUUUUGAAAAUAAACAUGCUAUGAUGCAAAUGAUGCAGACAAGACUGGCUGGUUGUGCAUCUCGGAGCACAGGAUCAGAGCUUCG